GCGAAUGCUAGCGGUGCGCCUAACACAUGCAAGUCGAGCGAGAAAUUUUUUAGCUUGCUAAGAAAUGGAAAGCGGCGAACGGGUGAGUAAUAUGUUGAUAUUUGCCCCUAGGUCAGGGAUAGCCCAUUGAAAAGUGGAUUAAUACCGGAUAGUCUCUUCGGAGUAAAAAUUUAUUGCCUAGGGAGGAGUCUUCAUUCUAUCAGCUAGUUGGUAAGGUAAUGGCUUACCAAGGCUAUGACGGAUAAUUGAUCUGAGAGGAUGAUCAGUCACAAUGGAACUGAGACACGGUCCAUACUCCUACGGGAGGCAGCAGUGAGGAAUCUUCCACAAUGGACGAAAGUCUGAUGGAGUGACACCGCGUGAAGGAUGAAGGUUUAACGAUUGUAAACUUCUUUUCUGAAGGAGCAUAAUGAGAGUACUUUAGGAAUAAGGGGCGGCUAAUUACGUGCCAGCAGCCGCGGUAAUACGUAAGCCCCAAGCAUUACCCGAAAUCACUGGGUGUAAAGGGUUCGUAGGCGGACCUAAAAGUUGGAUAUUAAAGACCGAAGCUCAACUUCGUGUUUGUCUUCAAAACUGUUAAACUAGAAUCAGGGAGAGGUAAGCGGAAUUCUGUGUGUAGGGGCGCAAUCCGUAGAUACACAGAGGAACACCAAAAGCGACGGCAGCUUACUGGAACUGAAUUGACGUUCAUGAACGAAAGCGCGUGGGUAGCGAAAAGGAUUAGAUACCCUUGUAGUCCACGCCCUAAACGAUGAUAACUAAGUGUUGGGACUAGCUCCCAGUGCUGUAGCUAACGCGUUAAGUUAUCCACCUGAGGAGUACGGUCGCAAGAUUAAAACUCAAAGGAAUAGACGGGGACCCACACAAGCAGUGGAUCACGUGGUUUAAUUCGACAAUAAACGGGGAACCUUACCCAGACUUGACAUCUACCGAAUCUUUCAGAAAUGAGAGAGUGCUUUUAUUAGAGCGGUAAGACAGGUGCUGCAUGGUUGUCGUCAGCUCGUGCCUUGAGGUGUUCGGUUAAGUCCGUUAACGAGCGCAACCCAUGUCUUUAGUUAUUAUGUCUAAAGAGACUGCCUUGGUUAACAAGGAGGAAGGUGUGGAUGACGUCAAAUCAGCAUGGCUUUUACGUCUGGGGCUACACACAUGAUACAAUGGUCUAUACAAAGAAGCAAUAUAUGGUAACAUGGAGCUAAUCUUAAAAGUAGAUCUCAGUCCGGAUUGAGGUCUGAAACUCGACCUCAUGAAGUUGGAAUUGCUAGUAAUCGUGAAUCAGAUAUGUCACGGUGAAUAUGUUCCUGGGUCUUGUACUCACCGCCC
RNAcentral lists this ribosomal RNA (1320 nucleotides) under uncultured prokaryote. Its description in RNAcentral is "partial 16S ribosomal RNA". It matches the Rfam family "Bacterial small subunit ribosomal RNA", at positions 29 to 1395 of the family's 1533-position model. The record is from RNAcentral.